This 24-nucleotide non-coding RNA is filed under the name Arabidopsis thaliana (thale cress). The record is from RNAcentral. Lineage: Eukaryota; Viridiplantae; Streptophyta; Magnoliopsida; Brassicales; Brassicaceae.
GCAAGUUUCUGGAGAUGCAUGCUC